RNAcentral lists this ribosomal RNA (513 nucleotides) under uncultured bacterium. RNAcentral's name for it is "partial 16S ribosomal RNA". It matches the Rfam family "Bacterial small subunit ribosomal RNA", at positions 28 to 523 of the family's 1533-position model. The record is from RNAcentral.
GACGAACGCUGGCGGCGUGCUUAACACAUGCAAGUCGAACGAUGAAGCCGGAGCUUGCUCUGGUGAAUUAGUGGCGAACGGGUGAGUAACACGUGGGUAACCUGCCCAUAAGACUGGGAUAACUCCGGGAAACCGGGGCUAAUACCGGAUAACAUUUUGAACCGCAUGGUUCGAAAUUGAAAGGCUGCUUCGGCUGUCAAUUAUGGAUGGACCCGAGUCGCAUUAGCUAUUUGGUGAGGUAACGGCUCACCAAGGCAACGAUGCGUAGCCGACCUGAGAGGGUGAUCGGCCACACUGGGACUGAGACACGGCCCAGACUCCUACGGGAGGCAGCAGUAGGGAAUCUUCCGCAAUGGACGAAAGUCUGACGGAGCAACGCCGCGUGAGUGAUGAAGGCUUUCGGGUCGUAAAACUCUGUUGUUAGGGAAGAACAAGUGCUAGUUGAAUAAGCUGGCACCUUGACGGUACCUAACCAGAAAGCCACGGCUAACUACGUGCCAGCCGCCGCAGUAA